This 835-nucleotide ribosomal RNA is filed under the name Streptomyces nanshensis. RNAcentral describes it as "bacterial LSU rRNA". It matches the Rfam family "Bacterial large subunit ribosomal RNA", at positions 1 to 650 of the family's 2925-position model. The record is from RNAcentral. Lineage: Bacteria; Bacillati; Actinomycetota; Actinomycetes; Kitasatosporales; Streptomycetaceae.
ACAGUGGACGCGAGCAUCUGUGGCCAAGUUUUUAAGGGCGCACGGUGGAUGCCUUGGCACCAGGAACCGAUGAAGGACGUGGGAGGCCGCGAUAGGCCCCGGGGAGCUGUCAACCGAGCUGUGAUCCGGGGGUGUCCGAAUGGGGGAACCCGGCAGUCGUCAUGGGCUGUCACCUGCCGCUGAAUGUAUAGGCGGUGUGGAGGGAACGCGGGGAAGUGAAACAUCUCAGUACCCGUAGGAAGAGAAAACAACCGUGAUUCCGGGAGUAGUGGUGAGCGAAACCGGAGGAGGCUAAACCGUAUGUGUGUGAGACCCGGCAGGGGUUGCGCAUGCGGGGUUGUGGGAUCUCACUUCAAUGGUCUGCCGGCUGUUGGACGAGUGAAAAAUUGUUGGUGUAGGCGAAGGGCAUGCGAAAGGCCCGGCGUAGAGGGUAAGACCCCCGUAGCUGAAAUGCCAGCAACUUGUUUGUGAGACUCCCANUCAGAAAUUGUUGAUGUAGGCGAAGGGUAUGCGAAAGGCCCGGCGUAGAGGGUAAGACCCCCGUAGCUGAAAUGUCAGCAACUUGUUUGAGGAUCACCCGAGUAGCAUGGGGCCCGAGAAAUCCUGUGUGAAUCUGGCGGGACCACCCGUCAAGCCUAAAUAUUCCCUGGUGACCGAUAGCGGAUAGUACCGUGAGGGAAUGGUGAAAAGUACCGCGGGAGCGGAGUGAAAGAGUACCUGAAACCGUGUGCCUACAAGCCGUGGGAGCGUCGCGUUGCGUGUUUGCACGUAACGUCGUGACUGCGUGCCUUUUGAAGAAUGAGCCUGCGAGUUUGCGGCAUGUUGCGAGGUUAAC